GACGAACGCUGGCGGCGUGCUUAACACAUGCAAGUCGAACGGUAAGGCUCCAGCUUGCUGGGGUACACGAGUGGCGAACGGGUGAGUAACACGUGGGUGACCUGCCCUGCACUUCGGGAUAAGCCUGGGAAACUGGGUCUAAUACCGGAUAGGACCGCACCGUGAGGGUGUGGUGGAAAGUUUUUUCGGUGUGGGAUGGGCCCGCGGCCUAUCAGCUUGUUGGUGGGGUAAUGGCCUACCAAGGCGGCGACGGGUAGCCGGCCUGAGAGGGUGGACGGCCACAUUGGGACUGAGACACGGCCCAGACUCCUACGGGAGGCAGCAGUGGGGAAUAUUGCACAAUGGGUGGAAGCCUGAUGCAGCGACGCCGCGUGGGGGAUGACGGCCUUCGGGUUGUAAACUCCUUUCACCAUCGACGAAGGGUUUCUGACGGUAGAUGGAGAAGAAGCACCGGCUAACUACGUGCCAGCAGCCGCGGUAAUACGUAGGGUGCGAGCGUUGUCCGGAAUUACUGGGCGUAAAGAGCUCGUAGGUGGUUUGUCGCGUCGUCUGUGAAAUUCCGGGGCUUAACUCCGGGCGUGCAGGCGAUACGGGCAUAACUUGAGUACUGUAGGGGAGACUGGAAUUCCUGGUGUAGCGGUGAAAUGCGCAGAUAUCAGGAGGAACACCGGUGGCGAAGGCGGGUCUCUGGGCAGUAACUGACGCUGAGGAGCGAAAGCAUGGGGAGCGAACAGGAUUAGAUACCCUGGUAGUCCAUGCCGUAAACGGUGGGCGCUAGGUGUGGGUUUCCUUCCACGGGAUCCGUGCCGUAGCUAACGCAUUAAGCGCCCCGCCUGGGGAGUACGGCCGCAAGGCUAAAACUCAAAGGAAUUGACGGGGGCCCGCACAAGCGGCGGAGCACGUGGAUUAAUUCGAUGCAACGCGAAGAACCUUACCUGGGCUUGACAUAUACAGGAUCGCGCCAGAGAUGGUGUUUCCCUUGUGGCUUGUAUACAGGUGGUGCAUGGUUGUCGUCAGCUCGUGUCGUGAGAUGUUGGGUUAAGUCCCGCAACGAGCGCAACCCUCGUCUUAUGUUGCCAGCACGUUGUGGUGGGGACUCGUAAGAAACUGCCGGGGUUAACUCGGAGGAAGGUGGGGAUGACGUCAAAUCAUCAUGCCCCUUAUGUCCAGGGCUUCACACAUGCUACAAUGGUCGGUACAGUGGGUUGCCAGUCCGUGAGGGCGAGCUAAUCCCGCAAAGCCGGUCUCAGUUCGGAUCGGGGUCUGCAACUCGACCCCGUGAAGUCGGAGUCGCUAGUAAUCGCAGAUCAGCAACGCUGCGGUGAAUACGUUCCCGGGCCU
This 1341-nucleotide ribosomal RNA is filed under the name uncultured bacterium. RNAcentral describes it as "partial 16S ribosomal RNA". It matches the Rfam family "Bacterial small subunit ribosomal RNA", at positions 28 to 1381 of the family's 1533-position model. The record is from RNAcentral.